GGGUGUACAAAUGUAUAUUAUAUUAUGGAGAAAUAACGCAGGCUUAAAAUUACGAGAGAGCAGUAUGUUCAGUUACAUUUUAUAUUGUAGAUGUAUACAUUUGUAAUAUACUAUUAACAUAAUAAGGUACACUUUAACUUCACGCAUUGGAUAAACCAAUUAACUGUGUUUUAUCACAAAAUAACCAUGGUUUUGCUAAUACACCAAAAAAAACAUGGUUACUAAACUUUUAACACAAAAAAAAAACAUUCAUUUUCGUAAGGGGAAUAUGAGUGUUUGUUUUUUGUAGUUUUUGAGUCAAUUGCAUACCGCUUUUAGCUGUACACAUUAAUUAACUUAAACAGUUUUCGUAAAUGCAUUUCAGAGAAAAGUGAAUUCUGAGAUUUAAAUAAUGCAUCUGACGUGUGUGAUGACGUCACGACGCACGUAUUUUGAUUUUUACCAGUCGUUCGAGACAGACGGAUUCAGUCCCAAGAAGCUAAAGUUUUUCAAAGACAUUUGUAGGGAGGACUUUGCAGCUAAUGAUUUCCUAAGGCUGAACCAAAACCUGCCAGACUAAAGUUGAUUUGGGAGAGAAAGACAUUGUAAACUUAAUCAUCUUGACAUUCUUCAAUGAGUAAUUGUUCAAUUUUUAGGCAAAUACUGUACACUUUGAAUGCUGUGAAUAAAACUAUAUUUUAAAUAUAUUUAAAA
Misgurnus anguillicaudatus (oriental weatherfish) is the source of this 693-nucleotide non-coding RNA. NCBI's taxonomy places the organism in Eukaryota, Metazoa, Chordata, Actinopteri, Cypriniformes, Cobitidae. The record is from RefSeq and is a predicted model, not a curated record.